This 497-nucleotide ribosomal RNA is filed under the name uncultured bacterium. Its description in RNAcentral is "partial 16S ribosomal RNA". It matches the Rfam family "Bacterial small subunit ribosomal RNA", at positions 28 to 507 of the family's 1533-position model. The record is from RNAcentral.
GAUGAACGCUGGCGGCGUGCCUAAUACAUGCAAGUCGAGCGAACAGACGAGGAGCUUGCUCCUCUGACGUUAGCGGCGGACGGGUGAGUAACACGUGGAUAACCUACCUAUAAGACUGGGAUAACUUCGGGAAACCGGAGCUAAUACCGGAUAAUAUAUUGAACCGCAUGGUUCAAUAGUGAAAUACGGUUUUUCUGUCACUUAUAGAUGGAUCCGCGCCGCAUUAGCUAGUUGGUACGGUAACGGCUUACCAAGGCAACGAUGCGUAGCCGACCUGAGAGGGUGAUCGGCCACACUGGAACGGAGACACGGUCCAGACGCCUACGGGAGGCAGCAGUAGGGAAUCGUACGCAGUGGGCGAAAGCCUGACGGAGCAGCGCCGCGUGAGUGAUGAAGGCCUUCGGAGCGUAAAACUCGGUUAUUAGGGAAGAACAAAUGUGUACGUAACUAUGCACGUCUUGACGGUACCUAAUAAGAAAGCCACGGCUAACUACGUG